GAGGAUGCGGUUGGGGAAGCCCUGGCGGCAGAUGCGGAUGCCCUCGAGGACGCCGUUGCAGCGUAGCUGGUCCAGCACCAGCCGUGGCUCCAGCUUUCCAGCCUGUGGGGCAAGAGAAGCGAUGGGGCAACAAGAAAGUCUCCGCAAGUCCUGAGAGACCUCGAAUAUGCAGCACUCCCAGCCAUUCUCUCCUUUGUGCUUUCUGGGCUGCAACUGGCCACUGGGCCUUUGCACAAGCUGUUCUCUGCAUGGGAAGCCACAUAUCUUUUGCUCAGGCAUCCCAUCCUCUGGGAGUCCUCCUGGACUUUGCUGGCCAGGUCAGAUCAUAUGGGACAUUUAUGACCUCUACAAAUCCCCCCUGGAAUGCAUUUUGGGGGCUUGGCUGAGAGCCUGUGCUCCCCAGUACUCGGCAGAUUUAAGUCACGGGAUGGAUGAAUUUCCCAGCAGUAUGGAGAGCCAGAAUGGAAGCAGCUUGCUCAGGGGCAAGAAGCAGACUUCGCCCAGCCAGGCCAGCAGCUGAGCCUUGGCCCUGUCCUCCCGGGCGGGUCACUCACCCUCUUCUCGUGAUUGGGGACGAUGCAGCGGACGAAGCUGGGGUUGGUAUUGCUGAGCGUGGCCAUCAGGCGACUCAGGGACUCCUUGUAGAGCUGCCCCACCGUCCGGAACAUCCCGCGGCGCGGGCGGCCGCCCGGUGGACCAUCCCCGAGGCUGCUCACCUGCUCCAGCCCCACGAUGCCCUCCACUGUGGAGGGGCAGGUGCAGGGUCAGCUGGACGGGUCCGGCUGGCCGGGGACCAGGGUCCCGAGCACUUAGACCCAGGCCUUCACACAGCGCAUGCGGCCCAUGGCCCGGGAGGGGGUGUCACUGACAGCACUGUUAAAGUGCGUAGACUGAGGCUGGCGGGCCGUCUCGAGCACCAGGGUGGGCUGUGUAAAUCCCCAGCCCUGCUCAGAGGAGAGCUCUGCUUUCCUCAUCACCAGAUGACAGGGACAGUGAGUGACAGCAGCUGCUGCUAGGACUGGGGACUUCAGGCAGGGCGCUGCCUAUGAGGGCUGUGCUCAUCAAGGGAGGAAACUGAGGCACAUAGGGGCCAGCGAUGACACACAGCAUGGCUGGAACACAAAUGGUGCCUCGGGAAAACUUUGACAGAGGCCGGCCCCUUAGGAGCCUCAGCUGACUUCAGGGUGACACUGGUCUCACUGCCACGUCCACCAGGGUCACUUCUGCUUGGGAAAAACACCCCAGGUCCCUUACAUCUGGUGCCACCUUGUGUACCCAAAGCUGCCAACUUUCUCGGGGACAUCAGGUCCCGCAAAACCCAGCCCAGCCCGGGGCUCACUGCUUAAUUCAGCUGCAGGGCGGGGCCUCGUGCGGCACAGGGGCUUGCAAACGUGGCUUUCCCCUCCCUAAGUGCAAUGGUCUUCUCCACUGCCGUGCUUUUGGUCAUUUUCAAAACAAUCAUCGUUAAUUCAGUUCUCAGAGUGCAGGGAAAGGGUAAGGUUCUGAGUUCAAAUCCCAGCUCUGGUACUCACUGUCUAUGUGCCCCCCCAACCCCAAGCAAGUUGUUUAACACC
Molecule: long non-coding RNA, 1574 nt
Organism: Cavia porcellus (domestic guinea pig)
Lineage: Eukaryota; Metazoa; Chordata; Mammalia; Rodentia; Caviidae
Exons: 2
Source: RefSeq, a predicted model, not a curated record